This 330-nucleotide ribosomal RNA is filed under the name uncultured eukaryote. RNAcentral describes it as "partial 18S ribosomal RNA". It matches the Rfam family "Eukaryotic small subunit ribosomal RNA", at positions 1470 to 1796 of the family's 1831-position model. The record is from RNAcentral.
CCCUUAGAUGUUCUGGGCCGCACGCGCGCUACACUGAUGCAUUCAACGAGUUUCUUCCUGGUCCGAGAGGAAUGGGUAACCUUUUGAAAGUGCAUCGUGAUAGGGAUAGACUAUUGCAAUUAUUGGUCUUCAACGAGGAAUUCCUAGUAGACGUAGUUCAUCAGACUGCAUCGAUUACGUCCCUGCCCUUUGUACACACCGCCCGUCGCUACUACCGAUUGAAUGGUUUAGUGAGAUCUUCGGAUUGGCCACCUUGGUGCCUUCGCGGGUCCAUGGCGUGCCGAAAAGUUGUUCAAACUUGAUCAUUUAGAGGAAGUAAAAGUCGUAACA